AAAAGGAACGGCGUUGUCGUCGGCCCGAGUCGGUGAUUCGGCCAUGAGACAGUUGCGGCGGCUCUAGAAUUUGUCGUGCAUGUGCAUUACCUUGGCGA
RNAcentral lists this small RNA (98 nucleotides) under Sinorhizobium meliloti 2011. RNAcentral describes it as "putative ncRNA". Lineage: Bacteria; Pseudomonadati; Pseudomonadota; Alphaproteobacteria; Hyphomicrobiales; Rhizobiaceae. The record is from RNAcentral.